UGAGGAAUAUUGGUCAAUGGGCGAGAGCCUGAACCAGCCAAGUCGCGUGAGGGAAGAAUGGUCUAUGGCCUGUAAACCUCUUUUGUCAGGGAAGAAUAAGGAUGACGAGUCAUUCGAUGCCAGUACUUGACGAAUAAGCAUCGGCUAACUCCGUGCCAGCAGCCGCGGUAAUACGGGGGAUGCGAGCGUUAUCCGGAUUUAUUGGGUUUAAAGGGCGCGUAGGCGGGACGUCAAGUCAGCGGUAAAAGACUGCAGCUAAACUGUAGCACGCCGUUGAAACUGGCGCCCUGGAGACGAGACGAGGGAGGCGGAACAAGUGAAGUAGCGGUGAAAUGCAUAGAUAUCACUUGGAACCCCGAUAGCGAAGGCAGCUUCCCAGGCUCGUUCUGACGCUGAUGCG
RNAcentral lists this ribosomal RNA (400 nucleotides) under uncultured bacterium. RNAcentral's name for it is "bacterial SSU rRNA". It matches the Rfam family "Bacterial small subunit ribosomal RNA", at positions 355 to 753 of the family's 1533-position model. The record is from RNAcentral.